CUCUUAAAGAAAACCCCAUAAACUUAACCAGGGAGUUCUGCUUACUUUUUGCUUCUUCUUUUUCUCUUUUGGUUUAUAUCGUUGAUUAAUUGUACAGAUGUCCACAUCUCAAAAUUCAUUUAUAUAUUAUGAUGUUUUGAGCUUUGACUGGUGCCCCCAACAUGCAUGAGAUUAUUAAUCUUGGAAAGAAAAAUCUCUCGCGAACUUACUAAUUAUUGAAAAAGAAAACUUGCCCAGGCUCAUCCUCACAUGUAAAUUCACAAUGAGAAUAUGAUGUUGCACUAACAACAUUCUUCCUCAGUUCCCUACUCCCUUGCCUAGCUUUCACUCUGUGGCAUAUGGGGAAAGUGAGUCUUUGAGAAUCAGCUGGAUAGAGGAAGAAGAGAUCAUUCGGAGAAUUUUUGAGAGUUUUAAUCUGCGUAUGAAGAUUUGUCUCCCUCAUUGAAUAACCCAUUGGUCUGGCAUCUACAUCUCCCUCCCUCGAGCUGGAUUAAAGUAAAUUCCAAUGUCAUCUGCAGACUUAAUCAUCUUAAUCGUGGUAGUGUGGCUUUCCUAGCUACAUGCUAAAGUUAUAUCUCGGCGUCUUAUUUUAAAGAAUCUUGCAUUAAGGGACUGCAUGGAUUGGCCGUCCACUUUUGGAUGGGACAAAGUAAAUAUUGAAGAGGACUCGCUCCAAACUAUCCAAGUCUUUCUCGUCCUCCACCAAAAGCUUCGGCAAUAUUUGAGGCCAGUGCUUGCAAGAGUCUUUUAAGCAAUGUAGAUUCUCUUUUUGUCCUAGAGAAUGUAAUUCUCAAACUCAUAACGUUGCCAACUCUGUAUUUAGGAGUUCUUAAGGGUUGUAAUAAAAUUAAAAAAAUUAAAAAAAUAUUAAAUACUAGAUUCAUCAGUUAUUUAUGGUACUUAAUUAGAUUUGUGGCUAUUAAA
RNAcentral lists this long non-coding RNA (924 nucleotides) under Ricinus communis (castor bean). Its description in RNAcentral is "long non-coding RNA (RCOM_LNC001168)". The record is from RNAcentral. Lineage: Eukaryota; Viridiplantae; Streptophyta; Magnoliopsida; Malpighiales; Euphorbiaceae.